UGAGCUUGAUCCUGGCUCAGGAUGAACGCUAGCGGCAGGCUUAACACAUGCAAGUCGAGGGGUAUAGUUCUUCGGAACUAGAGACCGGCGCACGGGUGCGUAACGCGUAUGCAAUCUACCUUUUACAGAGGGAUAGCCCAGAGAAAUUUGGAUUAAUACCUCAUAGUAUAUAGCCCUGGCAUCAGGAUUAUAUUAAAGUCACAACGGUAAAAGAUGAGCAUGCGUCCCAUUAGCUAGUUGGUAAGGUAACGGCUUACCAAGGCUACGAUGGGUAGGGGUCCUGAGAGGGAGAUCCCCCACACUGGUACUGAGACACGGACCAGACUCCUACGGGAGGCAGCAGUGAGGAAUAUUGGACAAUGGGCGCAAGCCUGAUCCAGCCAUGCCGCGUGCAGGAUGACGGUCCUAUGGAUUGUAAACUGCUUUUAUACGAGAAGAAACAUCCCGACGUGUCGGGACUGACGGUAUC
RNAcentral lists this ribosomal RNA (469 nucleotides) under Flavobacterium sp. 01WB04.4-79. RNAcentral describes it as "bacterial SSU rRNA". It matches the Rfam family "Bacterial small subunit ribosomal RNA", at positions 1 to 479 of the family's 1533-position model. The record is from RNAcentral. Lineage: Bacteria; Pseudomonadati; Bacteroidota; Flavobacteriia; Flavobacteriales; Flavobacteriaceae.